AGGGGAGUGAAAGAGAACCUGAAACCGUGUGCCUACAACUAGUCGGAGCACGUUUACUGUGUGACGGCGUGCCUUUUGUAGAAUGAACCGGCGAGUUACGGUUGCGUGCAAGGUUAAGUCAGAUAAGACGGAGCCGCAGCGAAAGCGAGUCUGAAUAGGGCGAAUGAGUACGUAGCCGUAGACCCGAAACCGUGUGAUCUACCCAUGUCCAGGGUGAAGGUGCGGUAACACGCACUGGAGGCCCGAACCCACGCACGUUGA
RNAcentral lists this ribosomal RNA (261 nucleotides) under Acinetobacter pittii. Its description in RNAcentral is "partial 23S ribosomal RNA". It matches the Rfam family "Bacterial large subunit ribosomal RNA", at positions 532 to 792 of the family's 2925-position model. The record is from RNAcentral. Lineage: Bacteria; Pseudomonadati; Pseudomonadota; Gammaproteobacteria; Moraxellales; Moraxellaceae.